CAGAGAAUGCAUCCAUGCUAUCUACUUGGACUCCAUCUUCCAUCCUUGACUGUUAACUAGGUUGCUCGAAUCAAACUAGCUAGCCCUAUAAAAUUCUUCACUCAGGUGUAGUACUGCGGUAGUGCAGCACGAGAUCGAUUAUGGAGUUGGGUAGUAGUGCUACCAUGUCUCGAGAGCUGGUCGUCCUAGCGUUCACGUACGUGCUUGUCCACUAUCUCACAGGGGUCAUUCUCCGGAGCAAACGGGCGUCGCUGCCUUUGCCACCCGGCCCGCGAGGCUACCCGGUGGUUGGGGCGCUGCCCCUGCUGGGCCGGGCGCCGCACCGAGCACUCGCAGCCCUGGCUAGGCUGCACGGCCCCAUCAUGCACCUGACCCUUGGAAGGCAAGGCCUCGUGGUCGCUUCCACGCCGGAGUCGGCGCGCCUCCUGCUCAAGGACCACGGCGGCAGCUUCCUCGACCGCCCGGUGGACGACGCCGGGCCCAUGGUGCUGGCGUACGGCGCCCAGGACCUUGUUUUCGCGCCCUAUGGCCCCAAGUGGCGCCGCCUGCGCCGGGAGUGCAGCGCGGGCCUCCUUGGCCCCAAGGCGCUCGCCGACUGGGCCGACACGCGUCACGAGGAGGUCGGCCGUAUGGUCCGUGCGAUGAGCCGGCGGGGCGAGGCGUUGGAGGUGCCGGAGUUCCUGUUCGCCGCAAUGGCAAACAUGAUUGGGCAGGCGGUGGUGGGUCGGCGAGUGCUCGACGAGGCUGGCGGCGAGGCCACGAGGGAGUUCAAGGAGAUGGUGGUGGAGCUGAUGACCACGGCGGGGCUGGUGAACAUCGGCGACUUUGUGCCGGCGGUAGCGUGGAUGGACCUGCAGGGGCUCGGCCGGAGGAUGCGGCGGCUAACGACGAGGCUGGACAGGGCCUGGAGCCGGUUGCUGUCCGAUCACGAGGUGGCCAUGGCUAACAGGAAGCAAGACGGGAGCCGCCGUACAGACCUAGUUGACCGGCUGAUCGCAUGUCGUGACCAUGCCGAGGACGUGGGGGACGGCGUCACAGACCUCAACAUCAAAGCUGUACUUAACAACCUGUUCACGGCGGGGACGGACACUUCGUCGAGCACAAUCGAGUGGGCGCUGACCGAAAUGCUGGUGAACUCGGCGAUACUACAACAGGCGCAGGCGGAGAUGGACGAGGUGGUAGGCCGAGAUCGGCUACUCCAGGAAUCCGACAUCCGGCACCUCCCCUACCUCCGUGCCAUCUGCAAGGAGACCUUCCGCAAGCACCCCUCCACACCACUCAACCUCCCCCGUAUCUCCACCGAGCCAUGUAAAGUGCAGGGGUACCAUAUCCCCAAGGGCACGAGGUUGGUCGUGAACAUAUGGGCGAUCGGGCGGGACCCGGCGGUGUGGCCCGAGCCGGAGAGGUUCGACCCUGGGAGGUUCAUGACCGAGGAGGGGAGGAAGGUGGAGCCCAUGGGGAGUCACUUCCAACUGAUCCCGUUUGGCGCGGGCCGAAGGAUGUGCGCGGGGGCGCGCAUGGGAGUGGCAUUGAACAUAUAAACAACGCUACACUACCCGCCCAUAGGAAGCACUUGCGAUCGUUAAGUCAGUUGGUCCGUUGGAUUUCACUGCGACAGGACUUUUUACAGUGCUGUCAGAGUCUUAGCCAUUGGUUAUUCGUGACUCCUUUGUUUCAAUUAUUUGCAUGACGGGUGGGCCUCAAAUUUCCCCAGGCCCAGCAUCCUCAUGCGUCCUGUGCGCGUCCUGGGUGAGAAAAGGAAGGCGUGGGGCUGGAUCGUGGUGCACGGUGAAAACCUAGCCACCAAUCCCUCGCAUCCCCGAACAACCAAUCCCUCCGCUCCCCUCGAGCCCCGCUCCCCUCCUCUCCUGCCCUCCCCUGCGUUGCCGCCUCCUCCCCUUCUCCCCUGCUCUCCACUACGCCGCCUCCUCCGCCCUUUCACUUUUCUCUCCCGCGGCGGCGACGAUCUGCAGGCAAAAGGCGACGCCGACGGUGCUCGAUUCGAUCUGCAGGAGAGAGAGAGAAGAUAAGAGGGAGAGAGAGAGAAGGAAGGAGAGGAGGGAGAACUCCGUUGCCGCCACGUGCCGUGCUUCUGGAUCGAGCGCUGCCUGACCAAGGGAUAAGAGUAUGAGGUAAAACUAGCCACCAUGCUCCUGUGCGGGCUGCAUCCCCACAUCUCUCGUUUCAUUAUUUCACCAUCGCUGCCUCUUCUCCUCUUCGUUGCUCUGCUUCUUCCCCUGAUUCCUCUUUUUCAUGUUUUCUCUUUGUGGCGCCGCCGGGGAUGAGAGGAGCAGCUGCUGAAGCAGGUGCGGCGCCGGUGCACUGCUGGCGAAGCGGUCGUCGACGGUGCCGUCGACGUCGUCCUUGGCAGAAGAAUUUCAUUCUCAGCUUCAUCGGCGUCAGCUUCAUCACCAAGAGGACGGACUCCGGAAGGCAGCCCCCUCCUAAGGCGCCAGGGCCGUUGCUGACCAUAUGAUUGGUAGCCUUGGACAGAAGAGGGCCAGCAACAAACAGAAGCAACCACUGUCCUGUCCAGAACAUGGAUCAGCUUUGGUGGCAUCCGAUGCUGCCAGGCCACGGGGUUAGAGCAGAGGAGGCUGACAUGGUGUUCGACAUUCAGAUGGUCAUUGUGAUCGACCAGAUGCGGCGCCUCAUGUCACCCCGAGCCUCCAGGACUUGUUAGCGGUGCUCAUGAAGUAAGCUCAUAGAGUAAGGAUAUGCUUGCAAGUGCUCAUUUCCCAUAUGCUUGCCCACUCCUGUCUCGCAUCAAGCUUUCAUUUAUUUCCCUAAAAUUCCUCUAAUUUUGUUGUGUGCAUGUCUGAGAAAGAAAUAAGAGGAAUAAGCUAUGGUACGUCUUGGCGAAGUACAUUAUUUCCCUGGCUUGUGAAGUUAAUGCGCCCAAAUUCGCGUACAGUCUGGUUUCGGACUAACAAUGGCUCCUUGUGUUAUAUUGCAACUAGAAAAAGAGAUGGGCAUAAUAAAGAAGCUUGGUGAACAAAUAUAUAUCUGAACCCUCUACACAGUAUAGAUGCUAUAAUUUUUGUUAAAUGGAAGUUAGAUUCAGAUUCUUAAAAAUAUUAUCAUUCAGUCCUAUACAUACAAAGUACCUGCAACCCGCAUCUCUAAACAACGCGAACCUAUCCACAAUCAUAAACUUGUGUAUUGAUCCUCCAUUCAGAUUUCUUAUUAGCUCAUUCUGGCCUGUGUGAAAUUUUUGUGUUUGCUUUACAAUGGCCCAAUGCAUUUCGGUCGAUAUAUAUGUGAUGCCAUUGGUUGGCCUGGAUCGGAUAGCUAGGUUUGAUCGAUUCGGUUAAUAUAUGUUUAUGUUUCUGUUUAGGUUUCAGCACCUUUUGAUGCGUGUGCGUGCUGCCAUUGAUUGACUUCAUCUGUUUUGCUGGCUAUUCUAUGUGCAUUUACAUGUAUAGGAUAGUCAUUUUGAUUCAGUUAAGAUAUGUUCAGAUUUCUGUUUAGAUUUCGGCACCUUUUAAAUGUGCUACCAUGGGGUAACCUGAGUCUAUUUUAAUGGCAACGGGACCUGCAAGUGCAUGGCCCACUGCUAAUAGUCCUAGAAGCGAUCGAAAUUGUUGCUAUUUUGACUUUGUCUGCUACAUGGACUGCUAUUCUGAUCUCUAUGUUUUCCCAUUGCUUCAUUCAGUAUGUCCACGUAAAACCAGAAAUUACAUGCAUUUGAAUGAUGAUAGCUUAGCACUCGAUGAUAAAUGUGAUGUUGUUUUAUGUUAAUGUGAAACCCGAUCUAUCGGUUGUUAGUUUGAAUCAGUACCCAAGCCAUCCUCCUCACUGCCCUCCUCUUAGUUAUUUAGGUAGUUCUUCCUUCUUGGGUAACAAUGAGAAAACGAUUAGGUUGGUUACACAGUAUACUUCAUGAUUGCGGUAGGCACAAAAUGCUUGGCAGACUAAAAUAACUAUGCCUCAUUUCUAUUAUCAAGCUCUAAGUGUAUAUUGAGAUGCCUUUGUACAAUGGAAGAUCCAUGGGGUUGUUUGUUUGCUUGUAGAUUUUCGUGCAGAUAUUUGAAUUGUGCAAAUUUUUAAUUUGAGUUAUAAUUUGUUGUCUCUCGAUGUCGCUAAUUUUGUAUGAGCUGGAGGUGACCAUUAUCAUGUUCUUUCUAUUUUUUAUAGACAAUGUUUUAUUUCUAAUAUUUAGUUUCAUUCCAAGAUUAAUGAUGCUUUCACUCUGUUUUCAAAUUGACAAUUUCCGCCGACCCUUGUUGCACUCAAUGAUGGUUGAUGCCAACGUCGUCCAUUAGCAUUUAUUAUGUUGAAAAUUGCUUCACUCGGUCAUCUCUGCUUUUGACGCCACAAAAACAUGUGACAACUAAUUUAUGCUUGAUUAUUUGCUCAUUUUUAUUCCUUAUACAUUUAGCUCUUGUCCUUGAUUAGUUCAUUUGCAAGGAGAGUGUUUGUGUUCAACAUAAUAUUCCAUUUCCAGGUUUGCACUAAAACUAACUGCAAUAGAAGAAAGUGCAUGAAGAAUGAACAAGGAAAAGCUACAGAUUGAUAUGUAUAGGUAGAAGACUCGGGCAAUGGGCAGGUAGAAGACUCGGGCAACGGUUAAUUGACAAGCACUAUAUACACAAUGCAUCUCUGCUAAUAUAGCUUACUUUAUAAAGCCAUCAAUGUAUGCUAUUAUCAAGUGAUUUGAAUAUUUUAUUUUAAGCUAUCAUGUAAUGGAAUAUAAGUAUCCAUUAACUUGGUUCUAAACCAGUCUAAUAUGCAUGGUUUGAAUGCUCGGCUUGCUCUCC
Aegilops tauschii subsp. strangulata is the source of this 4760-nucleotide non-coding RNA. Lineage: Eukaryota; Viridiplantae; Streptophyta; Magnoliopsida; Poales; Poaceae. The record is from RefSeq and is a predicted model, not a curated record.